GUAUUUAUAAAGAAAAAAUAUAUCUGAUAGUUUACAAUUGUUAUUAAGUAACAUCCCGCCAAAAAUCUCAUUAGUUUUAUUAUUGUUA
RNAcentral lists this small RNA (88 nucleotides) under Arabidopsis thaliana (thale cress). RNAcentral describes it as "ATSL213110". Lineage: Eukaryota; Viridiplantae; Streptophyta; Magnoliopsida; Brassicales; Brassicaceae. The record is from RNAcentral.